This 833-nucleotide ribosomal RNA is filed under the name uncultured bacterium. RNAcentral's name for it is "bacterial SSU rRNA". It matches the Rfam family "Bacterial small subunit ribosomal RNA", at positions 9 to 873 of the family's 1533-position model. The record is from RNAcentral.
AGAGUUUGAUCCUGGCUCAGAAUCAACGCUGGCGGCGCGCUUAACACAUGCAAGUCGCACGAGAAAGUGGAGCAAUCCAUGAGUAAAGUGGCGUACGGGUGAGUAACACGUGGAUCAUUUACCUCUUGGUGGGGAAUAACCCUGGGAAACCGGGGCUAAUACCGCAUAAGCCUGCGAAGGGAAAGCAGCAAUGCGCCGAGAGAGGAGUCCGCGGCCGAUUAGCUUGUUGGUAGGGUAAUGGCCUACCAAGGCAAUGAUCGGUAGCCGGCCUGAGAGGGCACACGGCCACACUGGCACUGAAACACGGGCCAGACUCCUACGGGAGGCAGCAGUGGGGAAUCUUGCACAAUGGGGGCAACCCUGAUGCAGCGACGCCGCGUGAGCGAUGAAGCCCUUCGGGGUGUAAAGCUCUUUCGGCAGGAACGAUAAUGACGGUACCUGCAGAAGAAGCUGCGGCUAACUACGUGCCAGCAGCCGCGGUAAUACGUAGGCAGCAAGCGUUGUUCGGAGUUACUGGGCGUAAAGAGUGUGUAGGCGGUUCUCUAAGUUCCGUGUGAAAUCUCCCGGCUCAACUGGGAGGGUGCGCGGAAAACUGGAGGGCUUGAGUAUGGGAGAGGAAAGCGGAAUUCCUGGUGUAGCGGUGAAAUGCGUAGAUAUCAGGAGGAACACCUGCGGUGUAGACAGCUUUCUGGACCAUCACUGACGCUGAGACACGAAAGCGUGGGUAGCAAACAGGAUUAGAUACCCUGGUAGUCCACGCCCUAAACGAUGCAUACUUGGUGUGAGCCGUUCAUUCGGUUCGUGCCGGAGCUAACGCGUUAAGUAUGCCGCCU